This 398-nucleotide long non-coding RNA is filed under the name Homo sapiens (human). Its description in RNAcentral is "novel transcript". The record is from RNAcentral. Lineage: Eukaryota; Metazoa; Chordata; Mammalia; Primates; Hominidae.
AGGUGAUGGAAAUUAGAGUCCUGCUUAAAAAAUACAGAUGUUCUGGAAUAUCAAGCAACAAUUUCAAGCUUUCACACUUCUGGAUUGAAACACAGUUUAAAGAGGGAAUAAAAACCUGAAGAAAGAGCCACAGGACUGGACUGAGCUAAGGCAUGUUAAUAGCCAUGUUCUAGAGAAACGAUCUAUGAACUCCUCUGCUGAGGUCCCCACACCUGUCCUUGUUCUCUUUCUUCCCGAGGCUGAGUGUCUUUCCUGCUGUUCUGUGAUGCUUUUGCAACACUAAUGAAUAAAUCUCUCUCCAGGAAUUGUUUUCUUUUUCAUGAAACACCUCUCUCCUCCCUUAUCUCACCACAAAAAAGUAAAAAAAUAAAAGAAUAUUUAAUGUUCAGAAUCCACAA